UUGUCUCAAAGAUUAAGCCAUGCAUGUCUCAGUACAAGCCAAAUUAAGGUGAAACCGCGAAAGGCUCAUUAAAUCAGUUAUGGUUCCUUAGAUCGUACCCACAUUUACUUGGAUAACUGUGGUAAUUCUAGAGCUAAUACAUGCAAACAGAGCUCCGACCGGAGACGGAAGGAGCGCUUUUAUUAGAUCAAAACCAAUCGGUGGCGGUUUCCGUCAUCGUACAACUUGGUGACUCUGAAUAACUUUACGCUGAUCGCACGGUCUCGCACCGGCGACGCAUCUUUCAAAUGUCUGCCUUAUCAACUGUCGAUGGUAGGUUCUGCGCCUACCAUGGUUGUAACGGGUAACGGGGAAUCAGGGUUCGAUUCCGGAGAGGGAGCCUGAGAAACGGCUACCACAUCCAAGGAAGGCAGCAGGCGCGCAAAUUACCCACUCCCGGCACGGGGAGGUAGUGACGAAAAAUAACGAUACGGGACUCAUCCGAGGCCCCGUAAUCGGAAUGAGUACACUCUAAACCCUUUAACGAGGAUCAAUUGGAGGGCAAGUCUGGUGCCAGCAGCCGCGGUAAUUCCAGCUCCAAUAGCGUAUAUUAAAGUUGUUGCGGUUAAAAAGCUCGUAGUCGAAUCUGUGUCCCGCGCCGCCGGUUCAUCGUUCGCGGUGUUAACUGGCGUGCCGCGGGACGUCCUGCCGGUGGGCUUAGCUCGAGAGGGCGGCCCAACUCAAUCCCGCCGCGGUGCUCUUCAUUGAGUGUCGAGGUGGGCCGGCACGUUUACUUUGAACAAAUUAGAGUGCUUAAAGCAGGCUAAAACUUCGCCUGAAUACUGUGUGCAUGGAAUAAUGGAAUAGGACCUCGGUUCUAUUUUGUUGGUUUUCGGAACCCCGAGGUAAUGAUUAAUAGGAACGGAUGGGGGCAUUCGUAUUGCGACGUUAGAGGUGAAAUUCUUGGAUCGUCGCAAGACGGACAGAAGCGAAAGCAUUUGCCAAAAACGCUUUCAUUGAUCAAGAACGAAAGUUAGAGGUUCGAAGGCGAUCAGAUACCGCCCUAGUUCUAACCAUAAACGAUGCCAGCUAGCGAUCCGCCGACGUUCCUCCGAUGACUCGGCGGGCAGCUUCCGGGAAACCAAAGCUUUUGGGUUCCGGGGGAAGUAUGGUUGCAAAGCUGAAACUUAAAGGAAUUGACGGAAGGGCACCACCAGGAGUGGAGCCUGCGGCUUAAUU
Molecule: ribosomal RNA, 1218 nt
Filed under: Asida jurinei
Lineage: Eukaryota; Metazoa; Arthropoda; Insecta; Coleoptera; Tenebrionidae
Also listed under: 2 other names
Description: SSU rRNA
Rfam family: Eukaryotic small subunit ribosomal RNA
Source: RNAcentral